This 247-nucleotide ribosomal RNA is filed under the name Escherichia coli. RNAcentral describes it as "partial 23S ribosomal RNA". It matches the Rfam family "Bacterial large subunit ribosomal RNA", at positions 2696 to 2925 of the family's 2925-position model. The record is from RNAcentral. Lineage: Bacteria; Pseudomonadati; Pseudomonadota; Gammaproteobacteria; Enterobacterales; Enterobacteriaceae.
AGUGGACGCAUCACUGGUGUUCGGGUUGUCAUGCCAAUGGCACUGCCCGGUAGCUAAAUGCGGAAGAGAUAAGUGCUGAAAGCAUCUAAGCACGAAACUUGCCCCGAGAUGAGUUCUCCCUGACUCCUUGAGAGUCCUGAAGGAACGUUGAAGACGACGACGUUGAUAGGCCGGGUGUGUAAGCGCAGCGAUGCGUUGAGCUAASCGGUACUAAUGAACCGUGAGGCUUAACCUUACAACGCCGAAG